RNAcentral lists this ribosomal RNA (253 nucleotides) under uncultured bacterium. RNAcentral describes it as "partial 16S ribosomal RNA". It matches the Rfam family "Bacterial small subunit ribosomal RNA", at positions 524 to 776 of the family's 1533-position model. The record is from RNAcentral.
UACGUAGGGUGCAAGCGUUGUCCGGAAUUACUGGGCGUAAAGGGCGCGUAGGCGGCCAGGUAGGUCUGCUGUGAAAACUCGAGGCUCAACCUCGAGACGCCGGCGGAAACCAUCUGGCUAGAGUCCGGAAGAGGAGAGUGGAAUUCCUGGUGUAGCGGUGAAAUGCGCAGAUAUCAGGAAGAACACCCGUGGCGAAGGCGGCUCUCUGGGACGGUACUGACGCUGAGACGCGAAAGCGUGGGGAGCGAACAGG